Molecule: ribosomal RNA, 226 nt
Filed under: uncultured bacterium
Lineage: Bacteria
Description: partial 16S ribosomal RNA
Rfam family: Bacterial small subunit ribosomal RNA
Source: RNAcentral
UGAGUAACACGUAUCCAACCUGCCGUCUACUCUUGGACAGCCUUCUGAAAGGAAGAUUAAUACAAGAUGGCAUCAUGAGUCCGCAUGUUCACAUGAUUAAAGGUAUUCCGGUAGACGAUGGGGAUGCGUUCCAUUAGAUAGUAGGCGGGGUAACGGCCCACCUAGCUUCGAUGGAUAGGGGUUCUGAGAGGAAGGUCCCCCACAUUGGAACUGAGACACGGUCCAA